CGGAAGGAUCAUUACAACAAUAAUUCAACAUUGUGUCAGAGCAAUAACAUCUAAAACCGAUCAUCAAUUAAUUAAUUCAAAACUUUCAACAACGGAUCUCUAGGUUCUCGCAUCGAUGAAGAACGCAGCGAAAUGCGAUACGUAGUACGAAACGCAAGUCGUGAAUCAUCGAAUCUUUGAACGCACAUUGCGCUGUGUGGCAUUCCACACAGCAUGCCUGUUUGAGCAAUAUUUCUCUCUCGCAAGGUGUUGGGCACCACGCCGGCAGGCGUCUGCCAGAAACGAAAUUGUCUAAAACAGUUAAGCUUGUUACAGACUCUUGAUCUUAUUCUCAAAUCAGGUAGGACUACCCGCUGAACUUAAGCAUAUCA
RNAcentral lists this ribosomal RNA (371 nucleotides) under Sungouiella akabanensis. RNAcentral describes it as "eukaryotic LSU rRNA". The stretch from base 81 to 231 matches the Rfam family "5.8S ribosomal RNA". The record is from RNAcentral. Lineage: Eukaryota; Fungi; Ascomycota; Pichiomycetes; Serinales; Metschnikowiaceae.